GACGGAGGAUGCAAGCGUUAUCCGGAAUGAUUGGGCGUAAAGCGUCCGCAGGUGGCUAGUCAAGUCCACUGUGAAAGCGUGCAGCUUAACCUCAUACAGGCAGUAGAAACUGACCCGCUAGAGGGUGGUAGGGGUAGAUGGAAUUCACAGUGUAGCGGUGAAAUGCGUAGAUAUUGGGAAGAACACCAGUGGCGAAAGCGCUCAACUGGGCCACACCUGACACUGAGGCACGAAAGCUAGGGGAGCGAAAAGG
This 253-nucleotide ribosomal RNA is filed under the name uncultured bacterium. RNAcentral's name for it is "partial 16S ribosomal RNA". It matches the Rfam family "Bacterial small subunit ribosomal RNA", at positions 524 to 776 of the family's 1533-position model. The record is from RNAcentral.